GAUGAACGCUGGCGGCUUGCCUAAUACAUGCAAGUCGAGCGAAUAGACGACGAGCUUGCUCCUCUGACGCUAGCGGCGGACGGGUUAGUACCACGUGGAUAACCUCCCUUUAAGACUGGGAUAACUUCGGGAAACCGGAGCCAAUACCGUCUAAUAUUUUGAACCGUAUGGUUCAAUAGCGAAAUCCGGCUUUGCUGCCACUUAUAGAUGGAUCCGCGGCGCAUUAGCUAGUUGGUAAGGUAUAGUCUUACUAAGUUGACGAUGCGUAGUCGACCUGAGAGAAUGAUCAGACACAAUGGAACUGAGACAAGAUCAAGACUGCUACGGGAGGCAGCAGUAGGGAAUAUUGCACAAUGGGCGAAAGCUUGAAGGAGCAACGCCGCGUGAGUGAAGAAGGUCUUCGGAUCGUAAAACUCUAUUAUGAGGGAGGAACAGAGGUGUAAUAAACAAUGCACGUCUUGAAGGUACCAAGUCAAGAAGCAACGGCUAACUACGUG
This 497-nucleotide ribosomal RNA is filed under the name uncultured bacterium. RNAcentral describes it as "partial 16S ribosomal RNA". It matches the Rfam family "Bacterial small subunit ribosomal RNA", at positions 28 to 507 of the family's 1533-position model. The record is from RNAcentral.